RNAcentral lists this ribosomal RNA (37 nucleotides) under Gammarus lacustris. RNAcentral's name for it is "partial 12S ribosomal RNA". Lineage: Eukaryota; Metazoa; Arthropoda; Malacostraca; Amphipoda; Gammaridae. The record is from RNAcentral.
UCGAAACAAAGUAGGAAAACCUGAAGGUCUUUCUAAA